UUUUUAGUAUAAGUAUAUCUUAUGCAGUAGUUGAGAUAUACUUACACUAAAA
This 52-nucleotide microRNA precursor is filed under the name Camelus bactrianus (Bactrian camel). RNAcentral describes it as "mir-1302 microRNA precursor family". It matches the Rfam family "mir-1302 microRNA precursor family". RNAcentral also lists the same sequence under 3 other names. Lineage: Eukaryota; Metazoa; Chordata; Mammalia; Artiodactyla; Camelidae. The record is from Rfam by way of RNAcentral.